Molecule: non-coding RNA, 77 nt
Organism: Potamilus streckersoni
Lineage: Eukaryota; Metazoa; Mollusca; Bivalvia; Unionida; Unionidae
Source: the annotation of a GenBank genome assembly
GACCGCUCCGGUGGCUUAAGUGGUUAUAGCGCCACCUCGGAUGCGGUAGGUAGCGGGUUUGAAACCCGGCCGAGUCA